Molecule: long non-coding RNA, 532 nt
Organism: Triplophysa rosa
Lineage: Eukaryota; Metazoa; Chordata; Actinopteri; Cypriniformes; Nemacheilidae
Exons: 3
Source: RefSeq, a predicted model, not a curated record
GUGUGCGUCACGUCCGAAUCCUCCCUUUUGAUGUCUGUUGACUGUGGUUUCAGCCUGUUUAUGCACCUACGAGUUCUCCGUCGGUUGCUUUACUAAAUGGAUCUAAUGACUGCACUCCCUUCAGCAGCGAGUUGUUUAUCCGGACUCGUGACCUGAUUGCAAACACUGGUAUAUCCUUGUUUGGGUCCUCUCUCCGUCCCUCCUUCCUUUUUGUUCUGCUCCAUUAUUGUGUUUGGGUUUCGUCUUGCCCCCCCCCUCCUUUGUGUGGGGCGAUUAAUGGUGCAACUCAGUCGCUGCUUCUGCUGUAUACUACAAGAACAUUGCCAUAUGACGUUUACGUAAAGAGACUACUUGUACUACGUGGAGGAACUACUGCUGUCGUUUUUCGGAUUCUGGGGCGAAUCGUGUUUGUUGCGAUUUGGUACCUCGGGCAGAGGAUUAUCCACAUCUGCUGGAGACGGCGUGGUGAUCACGCUGUCGGUUUUACCUCGAGUUCCGUUCUCCUCGCGAUCCGUUUGGAGCUAGCCCUUUC